UACGUAGGGGGCUAGCGUUGUCCGGAUUUAUUGGGCGUAAAGAGCGUGUAGGCGGCCAGGUAGGUCUGCUGUGAAAACUCGAGGCUUAACCUCGAGAUGUCGGCGGAAACCAUCUGGCUAGAGUCCGGAAGAGGAGAGUGGAACUCCUGGUGUAGCGGUGAAAUGCGCAGAUAUCAGGAAGAACACCCGUGGCGAAGGCGGCUCUCUGGGACGGUACUGACGCUGAGACGCGAAAGCGUGGGGAGCGAACAGG
RNAcentral lists this ribosomal RNA (253 nucleotides) under uncultured bacterium. RNAcentral describes it as "partial 16S ribosomal RNA". It matches the Rfam family "Bacterial small subunit ribosomal RNA", at positions 524 to 776 of the family's 1533-position model. The record is from RNAcentral.